This 229-nucleotide ribosomal RNA is filed under the name uncultured bacterium. Its description in RNAcentral is "partial 16S ribosomal RNA". It matches the Rfam family "Bacterial small subunit ribosomal RNA", at positions 568 to 796 of the family's 1533-position model. The record is from RNAcentral.
UCCGUAGGUGGAUCAAUCAGUCAGAGGUGAAAUCCUGCAGCUCAACUGUAGAAUUGCCUUUGAUACUGGUUAUCUUGAGUCAUUAUGAAGUGGUUAGAAUGUGUAGUGUAGCGGUGAAAUGCAUAGAUAUUACACAGAAUACCGAUUGCGAAGGCAGAUCACUAAUAAUGUACUGACACUGAGGGACGAAAGCGUGGGGAGCGAACAGGAUUAGAUACCCUGGUAGUCC